AUUUAAUGGCCGCGGUAUCUUGACCGUGCAAAGGUAGCAUAAUCAUUAGUUUAUUAAUUGUAAGCUUGUAUGAAUGGUUUGAUGAAACAUUAUCUAUCUUUUUUAUAUAUUUUUGAAUUUAAAUAUUAAGUUAAAAUGCUUAGAUUUUUUUAUUAGACGAGAAGACCCUAUAGAUCUUUAUUAUUUAAUUUUUAAUUAUUUUGGUUUAUUUAUUGAUUGAUUUUUUUUUAAUUUGGUUGGGGUGAUGUUGGAAUAUAUUAACUUCUGAUUUUUUUAUACAUUUGUUUAUGAUUAUUUGAAUUUAUUUUAUUAUUUAAAGAUUAAGAUACCUUAGGGAUAACAGCGUAAUUUCUUUUGAGAGUUGUUAUUGACAAUGAAGAUUGCGACCUCGAUGUUGGAUUAAGAUUAUUUUUAGGUGUAGAUGCUUAAUUUAAUGGGUCUGUUCGACCCGUGAAAUCUUACAUGAUCUGAGUUCAAACCGGAG
RNAcentral lists this ribosomal RNA (484 nucleotides) under Spinacephorus verrucosus latifemur. Its description in RNAcentral is "partial large subunit ribosomal RNA". It matches the Rfam family "Bacterial large subunit ribosomal RNA", at positions 1922 to 2621 of the family's 2925-position model. Lineage: Eukaryota; Metazoa; Arthropoda; Insecta; Phasmatodea; Lonchodidae. The record is from RNAcentral.